AUACGUAGGGGGCGAGCGUUGUCCGGAAUGAUUGGGCGUAAAGGGCGCGUAGGCGGCCUGUUAAGUCUGGAGUGAAAGUCCUGUUUUCAAGAUGAGAAUUGCUUUGGAUACUGAUGGGCUUGAGUGCAGGAGAGGUUAUCGGAAUUCCCGGUGUAGUGGUGAAAUGCGUAGAGAUCGGGAGGAACACCAGUGGCGAAGGCGGGUAACUGGACUGCAACUGACGCUGAGGCGCGAAAGUGUGGGGAGCAAACAGGAUUAGAUACCCUGGUAGUCCACACUGUAAACGAUGAAUGCUAGGUGUAAUAGGUAUCGACCCCUUUUGUGCCGGAGUUAACACAAUAAGCAUUCCGCCUGGGGAGUACGGCCGCAAGGUUGAAACUCAAAUGAAUUGGCGGGG
RNAcentral lists this ribosomal RNA (397 nucleotides) under uncultured bacterium. RNAcentral's name for it is "partial 16S ribosomal RNA". It matches the Rfam family "Bacterial small subunit ribosomal RNA", at positions 523 to 918 of the family's 1533-position model. The record is from RNAcentral.